This 567-nucleotide ribosomal RNA is filed under the name Entamoeba bovis. RNAcentral's name for it is "SSU rRNA". It matches the Rfam family "Eukaryotic small subunit ribosomal RNA", at positions 33 to 599 of the family's 1831-position model. Lineage: Eukaryota; Evosea; Mastigamoebida; Endamoebidae. The record is from RNAcentral.
CGUUUUAAGGUUAAGCCUGCAUGUGUAAGUAUAAAGUCCAAUGAAGGAUGAAACUGCGGACGGCUCAUUAUAACAGUUAUAGUUUCUUUGAUUAGUAAAAUAUAAGGAUAACUUUGUGAAUGAUAAAGCUAAUACUUGAGACGAUCCGGGUUGAAUUAAUACAACUCGGCCGGUUUGCGCAAUGCCGCAGAAAAGGAAUUUCUUGAUAAAAUAAGGUUCCCGACACAUGUGAAAAACCAAACUGGUUCCACAAUUACCCAAAUAAAAAUUCUGAACCAUCUUUUGUUGGUAGUUCCGGGAAUACCAAGAAUUAUAACGGGAUAACCGAGGAAUUAGGGGUCGACAUCCGGAGAGGGAGCUUUAAAGAUGGCUACCACUUCCCAGGGAAGGCAGCAGGCGCGUAAAUUACCCACUUUUCGACGCGGAGAGGUAGUGACGACAAAUAAACUCUUGGAGUCCCUUUGCCACUUCUUGAAGAGAAUGACUUAGAAAAAAAGUCUCUUAUGAAAUCUUUUGAGAGGGCAAGUCUGGUGCCAGCAGCCGCGGUAUUUCCCUCUCCUAUAGUGA